UACGUAGGUGGCAAGCGUUGUCCGGAAUUAUUGGGCGUAAAGCGCGCGCAGGCGGUCUCUUAAGUCUGAUGUGAAAGCCCUCGGCUCAACCGAGGAGGGUCAUUGGAAACUGGGGGGACUUGAGUGCAGAAGAGGAAAGCGGAAUUCCAUGUGUAGCGGUGAAAUGCGUAGAGAUAUGGAGGAACACCAGUGGCGAAGGCGGCUUUCUGGUCUGUUACUGACGCUGAGGCGCGAAAGCGUGGGGAGCAAACAGG
This 254-nucleotide ribosomal RNA is filed under the name uncultured bacterium. RNAcentral describes it as "partial 16S ribosomal RNA". It matches the Rfam family "Bacterial small subunit ribosomal RNA", at positions 524 to 776 of the family's 1533-position model. The record is from RNAcentral.